RNAcentral lists this transfer RNA (77 nucleotides) under Gemmatimonas sp. SM23_52. RNAcentral describes it as "tRNA-Arg". It matches the Rfam family "tRNA". Rfam says of the family: Transfer RNA (tRNA) molecules are approximately 80 nucleotides in length. Their secondary structure includes four short double-helical elements and three loops (D, anti-codon, and T loops). Lineage: Bacteria; Pseudomonadati; Gemmatimonadota; Gemmatimonadia; Gemmatimonadales; Gemmatimonadaceae. The record is from RNAcentral.
GGCCCUGUAGCUCAGGAGGAUAGAGCAGCGGUUUCCUAAACCGAAGGUCGGGGGUUCGAGUCCCUCCAGGGCCACCU